GAGCGAAAGCGUGGGGAGCGAACAGGAUUAGAUACCCUGGUAGUCCACGCCGUAAACGUUGGGCACUAGGUGUGGGACCUUAUCAACGGGUUCCGUGCCGUAGCUAACGCAUUAAGUGCCCCGCCUGGGGAGUACGGCCGCAAGGCUAAAGCUCAAAGGAAUUGACGGGGGCCCGCACAAGCGGCGGAGCAUGUGGCUUAAUUCGAGGCAACGCGAAGAACCUUACCUGGGUUGAACUACGCAGGAAAAGCCGCAGAGAUGCGGUGUCCGCAAGGGCCUGCGAUAGGUGGUGCAUGGCUGUCGUCAGCUCGUGUCGUGAGAUGUUGGGUUAAGUCCCGCAACGAGCGCAACCCUUGUCCUAUGUUGCCAGCGGGUAAUGCCGGGGACUCGUAGGAGACUGCCGGGGUCAACUCGGAGGAAGGUGGGGAUGACGUCAAGUCAUCAUGCCCCUUACGUCCAGGGCUGCACACAUGCUACAAUGGCCGGUACAAAGGGCUGCUAUCCCGCGAGGGUGAGCGAAUCCCAAAAAGCCGGUCUCAGUUCGGAUCGUAGUCUGCAACUCGACUACGUGAAGUCGGAGUCGCUAGUAAUCCCGGAUCAGCAACGCCGGGGUGAAUACGUUCCCGGGCCUUGUACACACCGCCCGUCACACCACGAAAGUCGGUAACACCCGAAGCCAGUGGCCCAACCGCAAGGAGGGAGCUGUCGAAGGUGGGAUCGGUGAUUGGGGUGAAGUCGUAACAAGGUACCAAUCCCGCG
This 759-nucleotide ribosomal RNA is filed under the name uncultured Actinomycetes bacterium. RNAcentral's name for it is "bacterial SSU rRNA". It matches the Rfam family "Bacterial small subunit ribosomal RNA", at positions 751 to 1509 of the family's 1533-position model. Lineage: Bacteria; Bacillati; Actinomycetota; Actinomycetes. The record is from RNAcentral.